RNAcentral lists this non-coding RNA (85 nucleotides) under pig gut metagenome. RNAcentral's name for it is "S10-Clostridia ribosomal protein leader". It matches the Rfam family "S10-Clostridia ribosomal protein leader". The record is from RNAcentral.
UGAUAGCGUAGAAGCGGAGGUUGCCGCCUAGUAUUCAGGCGGGUUUUUCGUGGAGCGAAUGUCAAUUAAAGAUAACUGGCGACAA